This 296-nucleotide ribosomal RNA is filed under the name uncultured bacterium. RNAcentral describes it as "partial 16S ribosomal RNA". It matches the Rfam family "Bacterial small subunit ribosomal RNA", at positions 28 to 322 of the family's 1533-position model. The record is from RNAcentral.
GACGAACGCUGGCGGCGUGCUUAACACAUGCAAGUCGAGCGGUAAGGCCCUUUCGGGGGUACGACGAGCGGCGAACGGGUGAGUAACACGUGGGUGACCCGCCCUCAGCUCUGGGAUAAAGCCUGGGAAACCGGGUCUAAUACUGGAUAUGACUCCAUGACGCAUGUUGUGGGGUGGAAAGCCUUGUGCGGCUGAGGAUGGGCCCGCGGCCUAUCAGCUUGUUGGUGGGGUGAUGGCCUACCAAGGCGACGACGGGUAGCCGGCCUGAGAGGGCGACCGGCCACACGUGGGACUGA